Molecule: non-coding RNA, 864 nt
Organism: Callithrix jacchus (white-tufted-ear marmoset)
Lineage: Eukaryota; Metazoa; Chordata; Mammalia; Primates; Cebidae
Source: RefSeq, a predicted model, not a curated record
UUUGAAAACGAUGGCAUGGGUACCAGCCGAAUCCGCAGUGGAAGAGUUGAUGCCUCGGCUAUUACUGGAUCGAAGCAGCUCAAUGUCCAGAUGUUGUGGUAGCUCAAAUUGACCCAAAGAAGUUGAAAAGGAAGCAAAGUGUGAAUAUUUCUCUUUCAGGAUGCCAACCCGCCCCUGAAGGUUAUUCACCAACACUUCACUGGCAACAGCAACCAGUGGCACGGUUUUCAACUGUUCGACAGAAUGUGAACAAACAUAGAAGUCACUGGAAAACACAACAGUUUGACAGUAAUGUGACCAGGCCAAAAUCUGAAGAUGAAGAAGCCUGGAAGAAAUUUUGUCUGGGUGAAAAGUUAUGUGCUGAUGGUGCUGUUGGACCAGCCACAAAUGAAAGUCCUGGAAUAGAUUAUGUACAAAUUGGUUUUCCUCCCUUGCUUAGUAUUGUUAGCAGAAUGAAUCAGGCAACAAUAACUAGUGUCUUGGAAUAUCUGAGUAAUUGGUUUGGAAAAGAGACUUUACUCCGAAAUUGGGAAGAUGACUUUAUGCUUUAUUGGCUUGUCUUGAAAAGCCUUUAUUAUCUGAGGCUCAUUCACUGAUUCGGCAGCUUGCAAGAAGGUGCUCUGAAGUGAGGCUCUUAGUGGAUAGCAAAGAUGAUGAGAGGGUUCCUGCUCUGAAUUUAUUAAUCUGCUUGGUUAGCAGGUAUUUUGACCAGCAUGAUUUAGGUGAUGAGCCAUCUUGAUGUAGCUGAUCUCUCAGGGAUAGAAGAUAUUUCUCAUGAAGGCAGCCUCACUCUGAGGAAAGCAAUGCCAAUUCAAGUACAGAUUGCAACAUAUCUUCAACACUGUGUGAAGGGCUCACAUCUUU